This 301-nucleotide ribosomal RNA is filed under the name uncultured bacterium. Its description in RNAcentral is "partial 16S ribosomal RNA". It matches the Rfam family "Bacterial small subunit ribosomal RNA", at positions 509 to 807 of the family's 1533-position model. The record is from RNAcentral.
CAGCAGCCGCGGGAAUACGGAAGGUCCAGGCGUUAUCCGGAUUUAUUGGGUUUAAAGGGAGUGUAGGCGGUCUGUUAAGCGUGUUGUGAAAUUUAGGUGCUCAACAUCUAACUUGCAGCGCGAACUGGCGGACUUGAGUGCACGCAACGUAUGCGGAAUUCAUGGUGUAGCGGUGAAAUGCUUAGAUAUCAUGACGAACUCCGAUUGCGAAGGCAGCGUACGGGAGUGUUACUGACGCUUAAGCUCGAAGGUGCGGGUAUCGAACAGGAUUAGAUACCCCGGUAGUCCCUGUCUCUUAUAC